AUUGAACGCUGGCGGUAUGCCUUACACAUGCAAGUCGAGCGGCAGCGCGGGGGCAACCCUGGCGGCGAGCGGCGAACGGGUGAGUAAUGCAUCGGAACGUAUCCUCGAGUGGGGGAUAACCCAGCGAAAGAUGGGCUAAUACCGCAUUAGCUCUGAGGAGGAAAGCGGGGGACCUGCGAGGGCCCCGCGCUGGCGCGGCGGCCGAUGCCCGAUUAGAUAGUUGGUGGGGUAAAGGCUUACCAAGGCGACGAUCGGUAGCUGGUCUGAGAGGAUGAUCAGCCACACUGGGACUGAGACACGGCCCAGACUCCUACGGGAGGCAGCAGUGGGGAAUAUUGGACAAUGGGGGCAACCCUGAUCCAGCCAUGCCGCGUGAGUGAAGAAGGCCUUCGGGUUGUAAAGCUCUUUUGGUCGGAACGAAAAGCACCAGACUAAUACCCCUCUCUUCUGACGGUACCGAAAGAAGAAGCACCGGCUAACUUCGUG
Molecule: ribosomal RNA, 486 nt
Filed under: uncultured bacterium
Lineage: Bacteria
Description: partial 16S ribosomal RNA
Rfam family: Bacterial small subunit ribosomal RNA
Source: RNAcentral